RNAcentral lists this ribosomal RNA (492 nucleotides) under uncultured bacterium. Its description in RNAcentral is "partial 16S ribosomal RNA". It matches the Rfam family "Bacterial small subunit ribosomal RNA", at positions 30 to 507 of the family's 1533-position model. The record is from RNAcentral.
CGAACGCUGGCGGCGUGCUUAACACAUGCAAGUCGAGCGGUGAAGCGCCUUCCUUUUUGGUGGGUGUGGAUGAGUGGCGAACGGGUGAGUAACACGUGAGUAACCUGCCCCCUUCUUCUGGAUAACCGCAUGAAAGUGUGGCUAAUACGGGAUAUUCUGGGUCUGUCGCAUGAUGGGUCUGGGAAAGAUAUUGUUUCGGUGGGGGAUGGGCUCGCGGCCUAUCAGCUUGUUGGUGGGGUGAUGGCCUACCAAGGCGGUGACGGGUAGCCGGCCUGAGAGGGUGGACGGUCACACUGGGACUGAGACACGGCCCAGACUCCUACGGGAGGCAGCAGUGGGGAAUAUUGCACAAUGGGCGCAAGCCUGAUGCAGCGACGCCGCGUGAGGGAUGGAGGCCUGCGGGUUGUGAACCUCUUUCGCCAGUGAAGCAGGCCUGCCUCGUUUGUGGGUGGGUUGACGGUAGCUGGAUAAGAAGCGCCGGCUAACUACGUG